RNAcentral lists this ribosomal RNA (440 nucleotides) under Chryseobacterium sp. R-31653. Its description in RNAcentral is "bacterial SSU rRNA". It matches the Rfam family "Bacterial small subunit ribosomal RNA", at positions 14 to 455 of the family's 1533-position model. The record is from RNAcentral. Lineage: Bacteria; Pseudomonadati; Bacteroidota; Flavobacteriia; Flavobacteriales; Weeksellaceae.
UGAUCAUGGCUCAGGAUGAACGCUAGCGGGAGGCCUAACACAUGCAAGCCGAGCGGUAUUGUUUCUUCGGAAAUGAGAGAGCGGCGUACGGGUGCGGAACACGUGUGCAACCUGCCUUUAUCUGGGGGAUAGCCUUUCGAAAGGAAGAUUAAUACUCCAUAAUAUAUUGAACGGCAUCGUUUAAUAUUGAAAGCUCCGGCGGAUAGAGAUGGGCACGCGCAAGAUUAGCUAGUUGGUGAGGUAACGGCUCACCAAGGCGAUGAUCUUUAGGGGGCCUGAGAGGGUGAUCCCCCACACUGGUACUGAGACACGGACCAGACUCCUACGGGAGGCAGCAGUGAGGAAUAUUGGUCAAUGGGUGCAAGCCUGAACCAGCCAUCCCGCGUGAAGGACGACUGCCCUAUGGGUUGUAAACUUCUUUUGUAUAGGGAUAAACCUAC